ACCGGCCGAGGGCGCCCGCGCAGCCCCCUGGCUCCUCCCCCGGGCUGGCAGAGCGGGCCCCGCCCCCUGGGCCAUCCAAUCCGCUGUCGGCUGGGCCGCGUGACGUCAUCCGGCCCCGCCCCGCCCUGCACGUCCGGCGUCUGCGGAUCCCUGGCUUUUUUUUUCUUCAGGUACUGCACAAAAAUCCUCAUCAAAACUGAGUUAAAAACAGCAACUCUUUGCCCUCAUAUUUCUGUCAGCUGCUCACCUGGGAGUGACUCUGGUCUCGCCUGCAAGCACUCAUCUGUUCAAGUCAUCUGUCAUGGGACAGCUUACCUGAGGCCAAACGUCUAAGAAGAUAGCAAAACAAGACAGAAAAACAACUCCGAAUGGCAGUUUUUGAACAAUUCACUGGAAGUUGUGGAACAGAAGGUAGUGAAUUUGGAUUAAUCAGGUAAACUGUAGAAUUACUCUACAGAAUGUCAAGACACACACCAUUGCCUUCUUAUCUAAAAACAAAGAGGUAAUAAUAGCCCUCGAGUUGGACAGUCAGUUCAGGAAUCCCAGGCACUUGCAUUCUGGACGCCAUUAGAAGCUGAAGCCCAAAGAAGUGCAGUGUACAGCCCACGUCCUGAGUGGGAGAGGAGCCGCGUGCUGCUUCUUCCCUGCCUCGUGGAUGAGCAGGCGAUCCAGGCAGACCCCAGCACAAGCCCCAUCUGAAAAACACAAAGAUGCCAACUUUCAUUAUCUUCAUUCAUCUUCUUUAUUUUCUCAAUAAUGUUGUAGGAUUGCUUCAGUUAGGCCAGGCACAUUUCUUGUUAAGGCUACUCAUAUAUAUUUUAUGCCCUUUUGUACUUCGUGAAUGGAGUGUUUCUUUCUUUCCAUCAUGUUUUCUCACCGGUUAUUUGGGGAUGUAGUGAAAGCUGAG
RNAcentral lists this long non-coding RNA (907 nucleotides) under Heterocephalus glaber (naked mole-rat). RNAcentral's name for it is "lncRNA (ENSHGLG00000036884.1)". The record is from RNAcentral. Lineage: Eukaryota; Metazoa; Chordata; Mammalia; Rodentia; Bathyergidae.